UAAGCGCCUAUUUCGCCCUCCGCCGACGUGCGGACCCGACGAAACCCGC
This is a regulatory RNA element of 49 nucleotides. It matches the Rfam family "Moco-II RNA". The record is from Rfam.